CUCCGGUAGUCCAUCCUGGUCCGGUUCCGUGAGGAGGCCGCGGCGCGUAAGUCAGUCCCGGUCCCGGUCCCGGUCCCGGUCCGGGAGCCGUGAACAGCGGACCGGUGCGGCUCUGCGGAGCGGAGGUCAGGUAACCCCCCCCCCCCCGGUCAUGGCUCGGACCGGGACCGGGACCGGGACGCUGCUGUCCCGCAGAAACGUGAAGCUGGACUCGUUCCUGAAGCGGAACAUGGAGCGCGCCGUGUACGAAAGGAUCCGCGUGCACGAGCCGUGCGUGGUUGUGUCCGACACCAUCAACAAGGUGUACAUGCACGUGGUUUUGAGCGACGAGCGCGUGUUCCUCACGGAGUACCCGCCGCGCACGCUCACCGUGGCCGUGAGCUUUGGGCGCGUGCGUGACAUCGAGCUGGUCAACGACCUGCCGGACUUCCUCCGAGGGAAGGACCAGGAGCGCUGCCAGCACAUUCGGAUCGUUUACGCCGUGGAGACGCCGCCGCCCAGGAGAAGGCGUGAUCGGCUGACCAGAGAACGUGGGGAGGAGCUUCCUCCGGUGACCCCGCCCCCUCGCAGUCUGACCCCGAAGAGCACAUCCGAAGGGCAUCCUCCAGACAGCAGCCUGGACCAGUGGACGGAGGAGGACCCCCCCCCAAUCCCGAAGCCCCUCCGCUCCGCCUCCUGUCCCAACCCACAGACCCUGAGCCUCCUGAAGGUCCCGCGCCCCCCUGGCCCCCCCUUCAGCUCACCGCCGUCCCCGUCCCGGCAGAGCCGGGCUCAGGGGCCGAGGAGGAUCAGCCUGAUCCUGGACCGUCUGCUGAGGAGAGACCGGGCGGACCCCAGCGAGGACAAGGGGGCGGAGCUUCAUCUGUACGCCGUCUCACACUCGUCCACCAUUUACCUUCAUCUGCAGAGCGCCUGGACCCGCUUCCUCACCAGGUCGACUCUGCUGUUGGAUCCGCUGCACAGGUGGAGGUGCAGCUCCGGCUGGGACCCGCCCCCCCCCUCCAACAGGUCCGGCUGGCUGCUGGGCCGGCUGAGCCGGGAGCUCCAGCGGGACGGGGUCAGCCCGGAGGCGUCCUGCCUGCUGCUGCGCGAGCUGAGGACGGCGGCCCGGCGGGAUGUGGCACUGCGCCGUCUCUUCUGGAGGGUGAGGACGGCGGGACAUGGCGCUGCGCCGCCUCUUCUAGAGGUCCGGGGACCUGUUCGUCUUCCUGGUUCGCAGUCUGGAGGACGGUCUUCAUGGUGUCCAGAGUCUCAGCGGAGGACUCUGGUCAGAUCAGCUCCUACUGAGCACUCUCAUCGUCCAGACGCUCGCCGUCAUGUUCAGAGACACCGAGGUGGAAGAAUCCAGGAUGGACCUGCUGUCUGCCAACAGGUGAUGGACGCACAAGAUGGACGAGGUAGAACUGCAGCUGGUAGGAAAUCGCCACGUCCGGGACUGCUGCAUCUUAUUGAUCACGGAGACUUGGCUACACGCCGGGAUCCCCGACGGCUCCGUACAACUAGCGGGCCGCGUGCUACACCGCUGGGACAGGAAUGUGAACUCUGGAAAGAGCAGAGGAGGAGGGCUCUGCCUCUACGUGCAUGAAGGAUGGUGCAACAACAGCACCGUCUUGGAGACCCACUGUUCCCCGGACCUGGAGUACCUGACGGUGAGAUGCAGACCCUUCUUCCUACCCAGAGAGCUAACUGUUGUUAUCAUCACUGCUGUCUACAUUCCACCAGACGCUAACGUUAGCGCAGCGCUCUCUCUGCUCCUCCACACCAUAAACAAGCACCAGAGGGCACAUCCAAACGGUGCAUCCAAACGGUGCUCAUAUUGUGGCAGGCGAUUUCAACAGAGCAAAUCUGAAAUCUGUCCUGCCACACUUUCACCAACAUGUCAGUCGUCCUGCCAGAGGGGAGAACACUCUGGACCAUGUUUAUACUAACAACAAACAUGCAUUCAGAGCCAUCCCCCUCCCCGCCUGGGCCUGUCCGACCACCUCUCACUGUUUCUCACCCCAGCUGCCGGCACACAAAGCCCACAAUGAGGACCAUCAACACCUGGCCCGAGGAUACCCUCCCCCAACUCCAGAACUGUUUUAAGGCUACUGACUGGGAGGUUUUCCACCUUGAGGACCUGGAGGCAUUCACCAAAGCUGUUUUGGACUACAUCAAGUUCCGUAUAGACCUUUCCGGGCUUACGUCACAAACGCGUCACAAUCCAAAAUGGCGGGUCGAGUCGGUGACAACAAGACUGUCGUCAGUGAGAAAACACAUCGGCCUCGGAGCGGUUUUGGCUUUUUUGUGCAUUUUUUUUUUUCUGUAAAACAGUAGCGGAAUGACGUAUAAGAAUUACAGGAACCUGCCCAGAGAGGCAAAAGUCCGCUACAAACAGAAAUUGGACUCAAUAGGCGUAACUUCGGAUGAACGUCCAUACAAACAGCCGAGAGGUGCUUGGAGUAACGACCCCACGAAAUGGCCAGAUAAUACACCUAUCUCACUGACACAACAGGAGUGUUUACCAGGGACAGCAUGAAAAACAAGAAGAGUCUGGGAGCCUACCAGUACUUCCAAUCUGGAUGGGCGAAGAACGUCUUAUCUUGCCACAUCCCAAAGACCAGAUACACGUUACUACAUGCCAACGUGAAACCGUC
Molecule: RNA transcript, 2636 nt
Organism: Salarias fasciatus (jewelled blenny)
Lineage: Eukaryota; Metazoa; Chordata; Actinopteri; Blenniiformes; Blenniidae
Gene: c17h12orf56
Gene name: chromosome 17 C12orf56 homolog
Exons: 11
Source: RefSeq, a predicted model, not a curated record